RNAcentral lists this ribosomal RNA (406 nucleotides) under uncultured bacterium. RNAcentral's name for it is "partial 16S ribosomal RNA". It matches the Rfam family "Bacterial small subunit ribosomal RNA", at positions 30 to 526 of the family's 1533-position model. The record is from RNAcentral.
AUUGAACGCUGGCGGCAGGCCUAACACAUGCAAGUCGAACGAGUGGCGGACGGGUGAGUACUGUCUGGGAAACUGCCUGAUGGAGGGGGCUAACUACUGGACACGGUAGCUAAUACCUCAUACCAUCAGAUUUGCCCAGAGGGGAUUCUCUAGUUGGUGGGGUAACGGCUCACCAAGGCGACGAUCCCUAGCUGGUCUGAGAGGAUGACCAGCCACACGGGAACUGAGACACGGGCCAGACUCCUACGGGAGGCAGCAGUGGGGAAUAUUGCACAAUGGGGGCAAGCCUGAUGCAGCCAUGCCGCGUGUAUGAAGAAGGCCUUCGGGUUGUAAAGUACUUUCAGCGGGGAGGCGUUACCCGCAGAAGAAGCACCGGCUAACUCCGUGCCAGCAGCCGCGGUAAUUC